UCGCACUAGUCGGGGAGUUAGCGGUGCCCUGUACCCGCAAUCCGCUAUAGCGGGGAUGAAUUCCCACACCCGGACUUGUAGGAGUGCCGUCCGGACCGUGUAAGCGGUGUUGAAGGAACGGUCCCGCGCAACGGGAUCCCGUGAACCAUGUCAGGUGGGGAACCAAGCAGCAUUAAGCGGAUCUUCCCGUGUGCCGUGGGAUUGCCGUUCCAGAGCUGGCUGCAUGGAUACCGGGCAUUCCUCCUGUUCAAAUGUGGGUGUGCGA
Molecule: signal recognition particle RNA, 265 nt
Filed under: Oscillospiraceae bacterium
Lineage: Bacteria; Bacillati; Bacillota; Clostridia; Eubacteriales; Oscillospiraceae
Description: signal recognition particle sRNA large type
Rfam family: Bacterial large signal recognition particle RNA
About the family: The signal recognition particle (SRP) is a universally conserved ribonucleoprotein involved in the co-translational targeting of proteins to membranes. Archaeal SRP consists of a 7S RNA and homologues of the eukaryotic SRP19 and SRP54 proteins.
Source: RNAcentral